UACCCGCAGCACAAGUGGUGGUCAUUAUUAUUGGGCCUAAAGCGUCCGUAGCUGGCGUGUUAGAUGCCUGGGUAAAUCGAAGCGCUCAACGCUUCGAAUUCCGGGUAGACCGGCACGCUCGAGACCGGGAGAGGCAUGGGGUACUCGGGGGGUAGGGGUAAAAUCCUGUAAUCCUCCGGGGACGACCAGUGGCGAAGGCGCCAUGCUAGAACGGCUCUGACAGUGAGGGACGAAGCCCUGGGGCGCAAACCGG
This 253-nucleotide ribosomal RNA is filed under the name uncultured bacterium. Its description in RNAcentral is "partial 16S ribosomal RNA". It matches the Rfam family "Archaeal small subunit ribosomal RNA", at positions 474 to 727 of the family's 1478-position model. The record is from RNAcentral.